AGUGAACGCUGGCGGUAGGCCUAACACAUGCAAGUCGAACGGCAGCACAGUAAGAGCUUGCUCUUACGGGUGGCGAGUGGCGGACGGGUGAGGAAUACAUCGGAAUCUACUUUUUCGUGGGGGAUAACGUAGGGAAACUUACGCUAAUACCGCAUACGACCUACGGGUGAAAGCAGGGGAUCUUCGGACCUUGCGCGAUUGAAUGAGCCGAUGUCGGAUUAGCUAGUUGGCGGGGUAAAGGCCCACCAAGGCGACGCUCCGUAGCUGGUCUGAGAGGAUGAUCAGCCACACUGGAACUGAGACACGGUCCAGACUCCUACGGGAGGCAGCAGUGGGGAAUAUUUGACAAUGGGCGCAAGCCUGAUCCAGCCAUACUGCGUGGGUGAAGAAGGCCUUCGGGUUGUAAAGCCCUUUUGUUGGGAAAGAAAAGCAGCAGGUUAAUACCCCGCUGUUCUGACGGUACCCAAAGAAUAAGCACCGGCUAACUUCGUG
This 492-nucleotide ribosomal RNA is filed under the name uncultured bacterium. RNAcentral's name for it is "partial 16S ribosomal RNA". It matches the Rfam family "Bacterial small subunit ribosomal RNA", at positions 29 to 507 of the family's 1533-position model. The record is from RNAcentral.